This 74-nucleotide transfer RNA is filed under the name Trichocoleus sp. FACHB-591. Its description in RNAcentral is "tRNA-Arg". It matches the Rfam family "tRNA". From Rfam's summary of the family: Transfer RNA (tRNA) molecules are approximately 80 nucleotides in length. Their secondary structure includes four short double-helical elements and three loops (D, anti-codon, and T loops). Lineage: Bacteria; Bacillati; Cyanobacteriota; Cyanophyceae; Leptolyngbyales; Trichocoleusaceae. The record is from RNAcentral.
GAGGAUGUAGCUCAAAUGGAUAGAGCACUUGUUUCCGAUGCAAGCGGUUACAGGUUCAACUCCUGUCAUCCUCG